Molecule: ribosomal RNA, 253 nt
Filed under: uncultured bacterium
Lineage: Bacteria
Description: partial 16S ribosomal RNA
Rfam family: Bacterial small subunit ribosomal RNA
Source: RNAcentral
UACAGAGGGUGCGAGCGUUGUUCGGAAUCACUGGGCGGAAAGCGCGCGCAGGCGGGCGUGUAAGGCAGAAGUGAAAUUCCGGGGCUCAACCCCGGAGCUGCUCCUGAUACUGCACGUCUGGAGACCGGUAGAGGCUGGUGGAAUUCCCGGUGUAGCGGUGGAAUGCGUAGAGAUCGGGAAGAACACCCGUGGCGAAGGCGGCUUCCUGGACACCAACUGACGCUGAGACGCGAAAGCGUGGGGAGCAAACAGG